RNAcentral lists this ribosomal RNA (447 nucleotides) under uncultured bacterium. RNAcentral describes it as "SSU rRNA". It matches the Rfam family "Bacterial small subunit ribosomal RNA", at positions 26 to 518 of the family's 1533-position model. The record is from RNAcentral.
AGAGCGAACGCUGGCGGCAGGCUUAACACAUGCAAGUCGAACGGAUCCUUCGGGGUUAGUGGCGGACGGGUGAGUAACACGUGGGAACGUGCCUUUUGGUUCGGAACAACUCAGGGAAACUUGAGCUAAUACCGGAUGUGCCCUUCGGGGGGAAAGAUUUAUCGCCAUUAGAGCGGCCCGCGUCUGAUUAGCUAGUUGGUGAGGUAAAGGCCCACCAAGGCUACGAUCAGUAGCUGGUCUGAGAGGAUGACCAGCCACAUUGGGACUGAGACACGGCCCAAACUCCUACGGGAGGCAGCAGUGGGGAAUCUUGCGCAAUGGGCGAAAGCCUGACGCAGCCAUGCCGCGUGAAUGAUGAAGGUCUUAGGAUUGUAAAAUUCUUUCACCGGGGACGAUAAUGACGGUACCCGGAGAAGAAGCCCCGGCUAACUUCGUGCCAGCAGCCGC